Non-coding RNA from Microcebus murinus (gray mouse lemur), 209 nucleotides. The record is from RefSeq and is a predicted model, not a curated record. NCBI's taxonomy places the organism in Eukaryota, Metazoa, Chordata, Mammalia, Primates, Cheirogaleidae.
UCUCUGCCCUCCAUGGUUGAAGGAACAAAGUAUCUUUCCCCUGGAAAGAAGCAAACUGAUAAUGAAAAGAAAUGAGGGGUUUAACUUCAUAACCAAGAAUGAUUGAAAACAGGAGAAGGAAUUGCUGUCAAAGAUUGUACAGUACGAUGAAGUUGUACGGCCCUGUGAACACAGAGAUAAAGACAGAAUUCCUAAACGUAGGAACUUCC